UGUGUGAGGUGUUCUGGAUAUGGUGAAAUGUGUAUAGAGGUUGUGUGUGGUCAAUAAGGGAUCGAUCACUCCUAAUAAGAAGAGCGAACAUUCUAUGUAAUCUCACAGGAUGAUGUUUCAGAAAGUCUUUGAUCAAAGUAAGAUGAUAAUUAGAAAGAAGUUUCUAAUAUAUCAUCAAUUGAAUCAUAACUUUUUGAUCGAGAU
Molecule: long non-coding RNA, 204 nt
Filed under: Elaeis guineensis (African oil palm)
Lineage: Eukaryota; Viridiplantae; Streptophyta; Magnoliopsida; Arecales; Arecaceae
Description: long non-coding RNA (EGUI_LNC059162)
Source: RNAcentral